RNAcentral lists this ribosomal RNA (497 nucleotides) under uncultured bacterium. RNAcentral's name for it is "partial 16S ribosomal RNA". It matches the Rfam family "Bacterial small subunit ribosomal RNA", at positions 899 to 1397 of the family's 1533-position model. The record is from RNAcentral.
ACUCAAAUGAAUUGACGGGGGCCCGCACAAGCGGCGGAGCAUGUGGAUUAAUUCGAUGCGACGCGAAGAACCUUACCUGGGUUUGACAUGGCCGGUAAAGCCGUAGAGAUGCGGUGUCCUUCGGGGCCGGUCACAGGUGGUGCAUGGCUGUCGUCAGCUCGUGUCGUGAGAUGUUGGGUUAAGUCCCGCAACGAGCGCAACCCUUGUCCGAUGUUGCCAGCGGGUUAUGCCGGGGACUCAUCGGAGACUGCCGGGGUCAACUCGGAGGAAGGUGGGGAUGAAGUCAAGUCAUCAUGCCCCUUAUGCCCAGGGCUUCACACAUGCUACAAUGGCCGGUACAGAGGGCUGCGAUACCGUGAGGUGGAGCGAAUCCCAAAAAGCCGGUCUCAGUUCGGAUCGGGGUCUGCAACUCGACCCCGUGAAGUCGGAGUCGCUAGUAAUCGCAGAUCAGCAACGCUGCGGUGAAUACGUUCCCGGGCCUUGCACACACCGCCCGU